UCCGCCGCCUCUUGUGUUUCAGCUGCCUGCGAAUAGGGGCCAUGACAGGUGCUCGCGACCAUUAUCGGCCUCGCCGACACAGCGGCGGAAAAAUGACACGGUUCGAGCCGCGGAAUGCGGCGCCCGCUGCGAUCGGGCCCGAGAUGGAUGGGGGCUCAUUACUUGGCCCGCGUGCCCGUGAAAUGCGAAAAGUAGCACCCGCGCAUUUCCCGCGCGCCGAGCAGAAACGGGGGCGCUCUCCCGACGCGGGAGAACAAGAAGGUUCGCCGGCUUUCCUUGAACAGCGAGCGCGCGCCUCUUCACCGAUGCCUCACCACGCUUUCGCCAGAUGAGGCAAGUGCCCUGCGAACGCACAAAAAUGCUUUGGUCAAUAAUGUCGACUGCAACAAAUUACUUAUCUAUUUAGCAAGAACACAAAACUUGUGAAGGGUAGAAAUUCGGACUUGUUGGUACUACAUACUGCGAGUGAACCGCAAUAACCAAGAGCACGCAGGUACUAUUCCAUCGAUCCCGUUCUUUUUUUCCCCCCUUUUAUUGUGUCCAUGGCUUUCAACCGAAAUACAUGCAACCAUUGGAAGCGACCUCAAGAAGAAGAUGAUGAAAACAGAGGAGGGAACGGACAAAGGGAGGAUAAAAAAUUCUGCCGCUUAUCGUCAGCAGUGCGGAGCCCAGUUCAGCGACGGUGGACGUCACCUGGAUGAGCCGGUUGGAUCAAGCAGCAGUGACAUCGGCAACGGACAGCGGGCAUAUAAAGCCAACACUGCACUCGGCUACCUUCAGUGGGGACGGCAGCACGGCAGCGGCAAUGGCGCAUAACCACGCAUGGCUUGUCUUUCAGACAAGAAGUCGUCACCCUCGUUGUGAUACCGGAUCACAUGAGUCAAGGCCGUGCUGAACCUCUCAGUCUGCUGGUGGUGGUUCAAAAUCUUGGGCAUCCAUUGCGUACAAAAGAGCCGAUAACCGAG
Dermacentor albipictus is the source of this 965-nucleotide long non-coding RNA. RefSeq lists it as uncharacterized. The record is from RefSeq and is a predicted model, not a curated record. NCBI's taxonomy places the organism in Eukaryota, Metazoa, Arthropoda, Arachnida, Ixodida, Ixodidae.